This 269-nucleotide ribosomal RNA is filed under the name uncultured crenarchaeote. RNAcentral's name for it is "partial 16S ribosomal RNA". It matches the Rfam family "Archaeal small subunit ribosomal RNA", at positions 478 to 725 of the family's 1478-position model. Lineage: Archaea; Thermoproteati; Thermoproteota. The record is from RNAcentral.
AGCUCCUCGAGUGGUUGGGACGAUUAUUGGGUCUAAAGCGUCCGUAGCCGGCUGGAAAAGUUCUCCGUAAAAUCCAGCGAUCCAAUCGCUGGCCUGCGGGGAAUACUCUUCGGCUUGGGGGCGGGGGAGGUCGGCGGUAGUCCCGGGGUAGGGGCGAAAACCGGAAACAUCCGAUUCGCAAUCUUAUAAUCCCGGGAGGACCACCAGUGGCGAAGGCGGCCGACUAAAACGCGCCCGACGGUGAGGGACGAAAGCUGGGGGAGCGAACG